Molecule: non-coding RNA, 78 nt
Organism: Potamilus streckersoni
Lineage: Eukaryota; Metazoa; Mollusca; Bivalvia; Unionida; Unionidae
Source: the annotation of a GenBank genome assembly
GCUCUGGUGUCCUAGUGGUUAGAGCAUCCGCCUUGGAUGCGGGAGGUCGUUUGUUCGAUUCACGGUCGAGUCAUAACA